CUUGAUGUCUAAGUGCUUAAUUCUUAGGCAAGAUCCUGUCACCUUAGGUCGAUCGGUACCUCAGAUUUAUAACUCUGAUUAUGAAUUUUAGUUCCUAAACUUUGUCUAGGUCACACCCCGCAAGGUUACUCCUGGGCAUUAGCUCAGGUGGUUAGAGCGCACCCCUGAUAAGGGUGAGGUCCCUGGUUCAAGUCAGGAUGGCCCAUUCGGUGUUGGGGGUUUAGCUCAGUUGGUAGAGCGCCUGCUUUGCAAGCAGGAUGUCAGCGGUUCGAGUCCGCUAACCUCCACUGUUCAACCUUCUUCAACGCCAAAAGUUGAGGAGCAAUUGUGUGAUGUGACUUGGAUUUAGUCCGCUGAAGGAACCUAGCUUCUUUUCAUACCAGAAUUAUUUUUUAGUUCAGGCUGAAAGGAUGCUGGGCUCAUUGAGAUUUAAACAAUCUCAAAGAAGUUCAGCAGAACCUUGACAACUGCAUAGGUGAGUCUGGAAAGAAUAAAAGCAUCUCAUGGAUAUGUUUUCUUUUCUGCUUAAAUUAAGUACGAAAGGAAUAACCUAAAGAUUCUUGAGUAAGAGCUGAGUUCUUAUAGUG
RNAcentral lists this transfer RNA (587 nucleotides) under uncultured Prochlorococcus sp. RNAcentral describes it as "partial 16S-23S ribosomal RNA intergenic spacer". The stretch from base 215 to 287 matches the Rfam family "tRNA". The record is from RNAcentral. Lineage: Bacteria; Bacillati; Cyanobacteriota; Cyanophyceae; Synechococcales; Prochlorococcaceae.